UGCCACAGCCAUAUCACCCUGCAGCCCAAGACUGGUUGCCCACUGAAGCUAAGCAGGUUUGAGCCUGGUCAGUACCUGGAUGGGAGAAAACUAAGUUGCUGCUGGAA
Molecule: ribosomal RNA, 107 nt
Filed under: Sinocyclocheilus anshuiensis
Lineage: Eukaryota; Metazoa; Chordata; Actinopteri; Cypriniformes; Cyprinidae
Source: RNAcentral